ACGCUGGCGGGUGCUUAUACAUGCAGUCGAACGAGGUUUAGUCAGUGAGGCAACACUGACGACUACCUAGUGGCGAACGGGUGAGUAACACGUGAGAAACCUGCCCCGAAGACCGGGAUAACCCUCCGGAAGGAGAGCUAAUACCGGAUACCCCCACCGAACCGCAUGGCUCGGUGAGGAAAUGGAUUCCGCUUCGGGAGGGUCUCGCGGCCUAUCAGCUUGUUGGUGGGGUAACGGCCCACCAAGGCAUCGACGGGUAGCUGGUCUGAGAGGACGAUCAGCCACACUGGGACUGAACACGGCCCAGACUCCUACGGGAGGCAGCAGUAGGGAAUCUUGCGCAAUGGGCGAAAGCCUGACGCAGCAACGCCGCGUGGGGGAUGAAGGCUCUCGGGUUGUAAACCCCUUUCAGCAGGGACGAAUCAAGACGGUACCUGCAGAAGAAGCCCCGGGUAACUACGUGCCAGAAGGCGGGUAACACGUAGGGGGCAAGCGUAGUCCGGAUUUAUUGGGCGUAAAAGAGCUCGUAGGUGGCUGAGUAAGUCGGGAUGUAAAUUC
RNAcentral lists this ribosomal RNA (558 nucleotides) under uncultured bacterium. RNAcentral's name for it is "bacterial SSU rRNA". It matches the Rfam family "Bacterial small subunit ribosomal RNA", at positions 33 to 602 of the family's 1533-position model. The record is from RNAcentral.